This is a long non-coding RNA of Mus musculus (house mouse), 1607 nucleotides long. RefSeq annotates it as predicted gene, 42290. The transcript is spliced from 3 exons. NCBI's taxonomy places the organism in Eukaryota, Metazoa, Chordata, Mammalia, Rodentia, Muridae. The record is from RefSeq and is a predicted model, not a curated record.
CCCCAUGAUUUCCAUGUCUACAACCAUCAGCAGUGGCUGUCUUCUAAGGAGGCUUCGCAUCCAAUCCCACAACAGUCCAGCAGCCAAAGCACCCAAUGUUAAACUGGGGGCUUUAGUUUUGAUUUUGUUUCUUAUGACAGGGUCUCAACUAUAUAGCCCAAGCAGAACUGAAACUUGCAAUUCUCCUGCCUCAGCCCUCUUGAGUGCUGAGAUUACAGCCAUUAAUAUCCCAUGGAGGCCCCACCCUAAAGUCCCGAGGCCCUGCUCAUUGUUAUGGUGCACAUCUAUUAUCCAUCUGGGAAGCUGAGGAAGUGGAUCUUGAGCUCCAAGCCAACCUGGGCUAAGCAGCAGGCAAGACCCUGUCUCAAAAACAAAAGAGGCCUGGCUACUGCUCAAGAUGGCUGCAAUCUGGUCACCAUCCAGGUGGUGCUAGUUUGUCAAGCAUAUAGAAUGCAAGAGCCACAGGGUCAUGGAAGCUGCUAUCUGCCUUUCAAUGGAAGGCGUGCCAAAUCAAGCAACUUAUUGCAAACCAACAUCUCUGAAGGAAGUCCUGACAGUCUGGCAUACAGAUCUGUGAAGAUGAAGCCUAUGCCACAGUGAAGCCCCCCCUAGAACAUGGUGUGUCUGUCAUGAAGGCUAUAGUCAAUGAAUAGAGUCAACUGUGGUGGUUACCAGACUCUCAAAUGUUUGAUUUUACCAAAAAAGACUUGGAAGCCAGAUACUGUGGUAAAAGCCUGCUAGCUCAGAGAAGCAGAGAAAGCAAGCUGAUCUUCCUCCUCAUCCAGUGUCCCAAAUGGAGAAGCAAGAUCUCCUUUCCACUCCACCUCAGAAACUGCUCAAACUAAGUGUUCCUCCCUUCUACUUCCUGUUCAUCGCUCUGUCCUCCUGACUCCUAACUCUCUGUGCUUUUUUUCUAUGUUCACUCCCCUUCAACUGGUUGCAUGCUCCACCUCUAGACCUAAGGUUGACUUUAUUUAGUCCUGUUUACAAUAAACAGAAAGAGCUUGUUUUAAAGAUGUGUGCUAGGGCUGAGCCAUACCACAACUAAGAAUCAGGUUUUUUAAUACAUCCUAGGAGUUCACAGUGUGGUCAUAUAUUCUGUAACAGUCAGUCUAUGACAACGUCUAUGUGGGCUGUAAAUGGCAAGACCAUAAGAAUAAGGCUGCCCCAGCCUGUUAGAGCUUACACCAUUCUUUCAUAUGUCAUAGAUGUUGACUAUAGAGCUACAAAAUUGGAUGAUUGCCUUGCUAGAUUGGCAUCUUGUUUUGUACCAUUUCUUCUAUGUCAUCAUUGUUUCCUUUUUUAAAAGUUAUUAUUUACUUUGUAUGGUUGUGUCUUGUUUUAUAUAUAUUGAGACAGAGUUGCAUAUAGUCUAGGUUAGCACUGAACUUGCUAUGUUGUAGAAGAGGACCCUAAACUCCAGGUGUUCACAGACACACACCACCAUACCCAGUUUAUGUGGUGGACCCCAGGGAUUCAUGCAUGCUAGGCAAAUGUCUGCCAGUUGAGCUACUUCUCUAGCCCAUGAGCCUUGGUACAAAUGUAAUUUUUUUCUUUUUCUUUCUCUUUCUUUUUGAGUAUUGAGACAUAAACUCUUCAACAAUUGA